CAGUAGCCGCGGGAAUACGAAGGGUGCAAGCGUUACUCGGAAUUACUAGGCGUAAAGCGUGCGUAGGUGGUGGUUUAAGUCCGUUGUGAAAGCCCUGGGCUCAACCUGGGAAUUGCAGUGGAUACUGGGUCACUAGAGUGUGGUAGAGGAUAGUGGAAUUUCCGGUGUAGCAGUGAAAUGCGUAGAGAUCGGAAGGAACAUCUGUGGCGAAGGCGGCUAUCUGGGCCAACACUGACACUGAGGCACGAAAGCGUGGGGAGCAAACAGGAUUAGAUACCCCGGUAGUCCCUGUCUCUUAUAC
RNAcentral lists this ribosomal RNA (301 nucleotides) under uncultured bacterium. Its description in RNAcentral is "partial 16S ribosomal RNA". It matches the Rfam family "Bacterial small subunit ribosomal RNA", at positions 509 to 807 of the family's 1533-position model. The record is from RNAcentral.